RNAcentral lists this ribosomal RNA (330 nucleotides) under uncultured bacterium. RNAcentral describes it as "bacterial SSU rRNA". It matches the Rfam family "Bacterial small subunit ribosomal RNA", at positions 568 to 898 of the family's 1533-position model. The record is from RNAcentral.
UUCGUAGGCGGUGUGGCAAGUUGGGAGUGAAAUCUCUGGGCUCAACCCAGAGGCUGCUUCCAAGACUGCUGUGCUUGAGUGUGAGAGAGGCUCGUGGAAUUGCAGGUGUAGCGGUGAAAUGCGUAGAUAUCUGCAGGAACACCCGUGGCGAAAGCGGCGAGCUGGAUCACAACUGACGCUGAGGAACGAAAGCUAGGGGAGCAAACAGGAUUAGAUACCCUGGUAGUCCUAGCCCUAAACGAUCAGGACUUGGGGUGCCGCCCGUUCGGGCGUCGUCCCGGAGCUAACGCGUUAAGUCCUGCACCUGGGGAGUACGGUCGCAAGACUGAA